AUACGGAGGAUCCGAGCGUUAUCCGGAUUUAUUGGGUUUAAAGGGUGCGUAGGCGGAAUAAUAAGUCAGUUGUGAAAGUUUGCGGCUCAACCGUAAAAUUGCAGUUGAUACUGUUAUUCUUGAGUGUACAUAAGGUAGGCGGAAUUCGUGGUGUAGCGGUGAAAUGCUUAGAUAUCACAAAGAACUCCGAUUGCGCAGGCAGCUUACUAAACUACAACUGACGCUCAGGCACGAAGGCGUGGGUAUC
This 247-nucleotide ribosomal RNA is filed under the name uncultured bacterium. Its description in RNAcentral is "partial 16S ribosomal RNA". It matches the Rfam family "Bacterial small subunit ribosomal RNA", at positions 523 to 769 of the family's 1533-position model. The record is from RNAcentral.